Molecule: ribosomal RNA, 253 nt
Filed under: uncultured bacterium
Lineage: Bacteria
Description: partial 16S ribosomal RNA
Rfam family: Bacterial small subunit ribosomal RNA
Source: RNAcentral
UACGAAGGGGGCUAGCGUUGCUCGGAAUCACUGGGCGUAAAGCGCACGUAGGCGGACUCUUAAGUCAGGGGUGAAAUCCUGGAGCUCAACUCCAGAACUGCCCUUGAUACUGGGAGCCUUGAGUUCGGGAGAGAUGAGUGGAACUGCGAGUGUAGAGGUGAAAUUCGUAGAUAUUCGCAAGAACACCAGUGGCGAAGGCGGCUCACUGGCCCGAUACUGACGCUGAGGUGCGAAAGCGUGGGGAGCAAACAGG